CAGGAUAAAACGAUUGAAGUGGUUUUGUCAUCUGCCAAAAAACAAGAACCAUUACCCCUCCACCAGGAGACUAAAGACAGUGGAUCUGGAAAAAAGAAAAAUUCAUCAAAGAAACAGAAAAUGGAUAAUGCAAUGAUGGAUGAACCUUGUAGUCACUCGAGUUCUUAUACUUCUUUGAUGGAUAACUCGGACCCAAAUCCUGCAGCUGAUAAGAGAGAAGUGAUUGAUCUGGUUAAAAGUGAUCAAGUAGAAGGGAUCCAAAAAACAGGAAUGAAUAAACUGAAAAAUGAAACUGACAAAGAAAAUGCAGAGGUAAAAUUUAAGGAUGUCCUUCUCUCUCUGAAGACUAUGAUAUUCUCUGAAACUGAGGCUCUUUGUGUUGUAGACUUGCUAAAGGAGAAGUCUGGUGCUAUACAAGAUGCCUUAAAGA
This is a long non-coding RNA of Vombatus ursinus (common wombat), 430 nucleotides long. RefSeq lists it as uncharacterized. Lineage: Eukaryota; Metazoa; Chordata; Mammalia; Diprotodontia; Vombatidae. The transcript is spliced from 3 exons. The record is from RefSeq and is a predicted model, not a curated record.